This 499-nucleotide ribosomal RNA is filed under the name uncultured bacterium. Its description in RNAcentral is "partial 16S ribosomal RNA". It matches the Rfam family "Bacterial small subunit ribosomal RNA", at positions 28 to 507 of the family's 1533-position model. The record is from RNAcentral.
GACGAACGCUGGCGGCGUGCCUAAUACAUGCAAGUCGAGCGAAGUUUUUCUGGUUCUUGCACUAGAAACACUUAGCGGCGAACGGGUGAGUAACACGUAAAGAACCUGCCUCAUAGACUGGGACAACUAUUGGAAACGAUAGCUAAUACCGGAUAACAGUAUUUCUCGCAUGAGAGAUAUUUAAAAGUUGGUUAUGCUAACACUAUGAGAUUGCUUUGCGGUGCAUUAGCUAGUUGGUGGGGUAAAGGCCCACCAAGGCGACGAUGCAUAGCCGACCUGAGAGGGUGAUCGGCCACACUGGGACUGAGACACGGCCCAGACUCCUACGGGAGGCAGCAGUAGGGAAUCUUCCGCAAUGGGCGAAAGCCUGACGGAGCAACGCCGCGUGAGUGAAGAAGGAUUUCGGUUCGUAAAGCUCUGUUGUUAGGGAAGAAUGGAUAUGUAGUAACUAUACAUGUAAGAGACGGUACCUAACCAGAAAGCCACGGCUAACUACGUG